AGCUACCGCUAUUGGAGUUCGAUUAAGCCAUGCGAGUCGCGAGAAAUUAGAUUCUCGGCGUACCGCUCAGUAACACGUGGGUAACCUGCCCUAUGCUGGAUAAUAACCUCGGGAAACUGAGAAUAAUGAUCCAUAGUUCACUACGCCUGGAACGGUGAGUGGAUGAAAGCUCCGGCGGCAUAGGAUGGGCCUGCGGCGUAUCAGGUUGUAGGGGGUGUAACGUACCCUCUAGCCCUCUACGCGUACGGGUGUUGGGAGACAUAGCCCGGAGAUGGAUUCUGAGACACGAAUCCAGACCCUACGGGGUGCAGCAGGCGCGAAAACUUGGCAAUGCGAGAAAUCGUGACCAGGGAACUCCAAGUGCAUCGGGUAAGACCGGUGCUUUUCUUGACUCUAAAUAGGUCUUGGAAUAAGGGGUGGGUAAGGACGGUGCCAGCCGCCGCGGUAAUACCGGCGCCUCAAGUGGUAGUCGCUUUUAUUGGGCCUAAAACGUCCGUAGCCGGUCUGAUACAUUCGUGGGUAAAUCAACCAGCUCAACUGGUUGAAUUCUGCGAGGACGGUCAGACUUGGGACCGGGAGAGGUGUGGGGUACGCUCAGGGUAGGGGUAAAAUCCUGUCAUCCUGAGCGGACCACCUGUUGCGAAGGCGCCACACUAGAACGGAUCCGACGGUCAGGGACGAAGCCUAGGGGCACGAACCGGAUUAGAUACCCGGGUAGUCCUAGGUGUAAACGCUGUGGACUUGAUGUUGGGGGUGCUCCGAGCACUCUCAGUGUCGAAGCGAAGGUGAUAAGUCCACUGCCUGGGAAGUACGGUCGCAAGGCUGAAACUUAAAGGAAUUGGCGGGGGAGCACCGCAACCUGAGGAUUGUGCGGUUU
This 877-nucleotide ribosomal RNA is filed under the name uncultured archaeon. RNAcentral's name for it is "bacterial SSU rRNA". It matches the Rfam family "Archaeal small subunit ribosomal RNA", at positions 21 to 903 of the family's 1478-position model. The record is from RNAcentral.